UAUCCAUCAUCUCCAAAUGACCAUUUCUUUCAUAAAUUUUAAUUUGAUUCACAAUUUAAUUAUCUUUCAUUUCUGAUGCAAUGCAAUAAUAUGCAUGUGCAAAUGGUGCACUCGCUUGUCUUCGUUCCAUAUAUUCUCCAUUGAAAAUCUUAAAUGGAUUGUCAUUUAAAAAAAUUGUAAAAUUUGUUUCUCAAGAUUUUCAAAAAGAUCGAAAACGAGAAGCUUUGAUACUCCCAUCACGGAUAAUGAAAAUUAGGCGAAAAUACACGUGAACACGUGUUUGUAUUCUUAAUAAUAUUCUAUGAAUAUAUAAAUCUCAAUGAAAAAUUUAUAAAACGUGAUUAUGAAUAACAUUUUACGUACACAUGCAUUCCCAUACUGAAAGACAGAAUAAAAGCUUCGAAAUAAAACAUAAGAAUUUGAAAAAAAUAUAAAUUAUUGUCUCAUAUGAAGUAUAUCUAUUCAGCUUCAAAUUAUCGGCUGUUUCUCAUAGUUUAUCAUUAUUAUAAUCAUACGAUAGCGAUUUCGAAGAUAGUGUUUUUCACUAAAUAAAAAAAAAAAAA
Long non-coding RNA from Apis mellifera (honey bee), 563 nucleotides. RefSeq lists it as uncharacterized. The record is from RefSeq and is a predicted model, not a curated record. The transcript has 2 exons. NCBI's taxonomy places the organism in Eukaryota, Metazoa, Arthropoda, Insecta, Hymenoptera, Apidae.